AAGGUAACGCCUGCCCAGUGAGUCUCACUUAAACGGCCGCGACUAAACGUGCAAAGGUAGCGCAAUCACUUGUUCCAUAAAUGGGGACCCGUAUGAACGGCCACAUGAGAAAGAAGCUGUCUCUUGAAGAUAGCCAGUGAAACUGAUCUGCUUGUUCAAAAGCAAGCAUAAUCAAGCUAGACAAAAAGACCCUGCGAAACUUAAAGCUAAGCAUUAAACAAACUAAUGCCUAACUUUUAGUUGGGGCAACUAUGAUACACUAAACAUCCUUAAACAUUCUAAACCAACAAGUUAAAAUUACCCAAACAAAAGAUCCGGCACUGCCGACCAACGAACCAAGCUACUCCAGGGAUAACAGCGCCAAAUUCUUUGAGAGUCCACAUCAACAAGAAUUCUUACGACCUCGAUGUUGGAUCAGGGUAUCCAAACAGCGCAGAAGCUGUUAACGGUUCGUUUGUUCAACGACUAAAACCCU
RNAcentral lists this ribosomal RNA (475 nucleotides) under Acanthocercus atricollis. RNAcentral describes it as "partial 16S ribosomal RNA". It matches the Rfam family "Bacterial large subunit ribosomal RNA", at positions 1849 to 2597 of the family's 2925-position model. Lineage: Eukaryota; Metazoa; Chordata; Lepidosauria; Squamata; Agamidae. The record is from RNAcentral.